AGUGGUACUCAUAGGUUAUGGUCACACUGCAAGAAAAUGUAGCCCAAACCCCAAAAUUUUCUUCAAUGUGAACAGCAUAAAUCACAUGCAAUCUGAUAUUUUUGGCCUUUUUCAGACUGUCAGUCCAAAUCCAAUUUUUGUGCAUAUCCAGUUGAGUAGCAAGGACUUUGAAUGACAUUCAAUCUGACCAAUCAUAAUGCAGAAUCCACAAUUUUUGUCCGACAAACGAACCAGACAGGAAAAUAGGUUAACGUCAGUGAACCUGAACUUGAAAAAUGGUGUGUAUUGACAUCUUCCUGCGUUUGAAACAAGAUACCUUCUGAUGUUCAUUCAUGUUUAUUUCAUGCUGUAACUAGGAAAGAGGUAGAGAUGAUCGGUUCACUUGACGCUUGAACUGAGGUGCUACAGCGAUCUGUCACGACACAUAAAAGAGCCUCAAAAUGGUAGUCAUUGUUUGAAUUACUGUACAAAAAUGACAAAAUUUGAAAGCUGAGACUUUGUCUCAUACUGAAAGUAACUUGUUCUGUCUUGUCUGUCGGUGCAUUGUCAGUUUCCUCUUUGCUCAGCAAUGUAUUUUUCAUAGCGUGAGAACAUGAUGUGUGGAUCGAGAUCAGCAUGGCUUGUCAGACAUAGCAAAAAUAACAAAGGGGGACGGGUCUUUGCGAAGGGUCAAUUGGAAUCCAAUCAAAUUUAGAAAGUGUGAACGGCAAAAAAAUCACAUGAAAUCCAAUUUUUUACAAAUCCGUUUCAAGCUACAUUCAUAUGUGGUUUGAAAUCCUAUUCAAAUCGCAUUUCUGGAAAUCUGUUUCAGUCAGAUUGGAUUUUGUAUGACUUUUUCACAUUCUCAAGCCAUGUAAAACAUAAGCACGUCAGACAGAAAUGUAGAAAGCUGGAAUAUGUGGCUUUAUUCCGUGCUCUACUGGUCUAAAAACUCAGAUGAUGUAGUCAUGACAUCCACCAACAGGGGCAAACUGAACCAUGCUAAACAACCAAACCUUGAUCCCUUAGGGACACGUCUGCAUUUGAAAUGACUCACAACAGAUGUGACUCUCUUGUGCAGCUGUUCUUCUUGAGUUUGAUGAAGGUGCCCCAACUCUGGAGAGCACUGUGAACAUUUCCAGGGCUCCCUGGCACCUGCUAGGAUUUCAGAUCAGUUCGUCUCACUUCACGCAUCAGGAGGACCUUUGAGAGGUUGGUCCUUAAACAGCUCUGACCCGGUCCCA
Long non-coding RNA from Cyprinus carpio (common carp), 1223 nucleotides. Lineage: Eukaryota; Metazoa; Chordata; Actinopteri; Cypriniformes; Cyprinidae. The record is from Ensembl.